AAUUUUUCCAGCAGCUGCUGCAGGGCUGUCUCCUGCCUACUGCCCAGCAGGGCCUUGACCAGAUCUGGCUGCUCCUUGCCAUCUGCCUCGCCUGCCGCCUCCUGUGGAGGCUUGGUUUAUCACUUUGAAAAGUUUCAAAGUUACUGAAAAGCUAAGUUGAAAGAAUAGGACAAUGAACACCCAUAUAUGCAUCACCUGAUUCUCCAACUGUCAACAUCUUGCCACAUUAGCUUGCUCUAUCUACCUAUCUAUCUACCUACCUAUCCAUCCGUCCAUCUGCCUAUCUAUCUAUCUAUCAUCUUCCUGAAUCACUUGAAUAACAUGCUGACACUUCAUCCCAAAUCCUCUUGCGUGUGUCCCCCAAGAACAAAGACAUCUUCCCCCCACAGCCAGAGCCUCAACCAUCACCCCUCAGGAAAUUUAAUCUUGAUGCCAUAAUAUUAUUCAAUAUAAGUUAUUCAAAUUUCCUCCAGGAUUCCCAAAGUGACCUUUAUAGAUGUCUCUUUUCUUUAAACCCAAGCCCUGCCACCUCCCCAGCUCCCCAACACCUGCUUUGGGCCCCCUGCAAUCCCACCAUGUUCCAACCUCUAAGCCUUUGCCUGAGCUACGUCCUCUGCCUAGGCUGCCCUUCUACCAGCCCUGCUCUAAUUCCCUUUCUUGUCCUCUCUUUCUCUCACCCAAAGGGUUGCCAUCCUACCUGAAGCAUGCAAGCACCGUGGCAGGCGGGUUCUUCAGCCUCUACCACUUCUUCCAGCUGCACAUGGUUUGGGUCGUACUGCUCAGCCUCCUGUGCUACCUCGUGCUGUUCCUCUGCCGACAUUCCUCCCAUCGCGGCGUCUUCCUCUCCGUCACCAUCCUCAUCUACCUACUCAUGGGUGAGAUGCACAUGGUGGACACCGUGACAUGGCACAAGAUGAGAGGGGCCCAGAUGAUUGUGGCCAUGAAGGCGGUGUCUCUGGGCUUCGACCUGGACCGGGGUGAGGUGGGUGCAGUGCCCUCGCCCGUGGAGUUCAUGGGCUACCUCUACUUCGUGGGCACCAUCGUCUUUGGGCCCUGGAUAUCCUUCCACAGCUACCUACAGGCCGUCCAAGGCCGCCCGCUGAGCCGCCGAUGGCUGCAGAAGGUGGCCCGGAGUCUGGCGCUGGCCCUGCUGUGCCUUGUGCUGUCCACCUGUGUGGGCCCCUACCUCUUCCCGUACUUCAUCCCCCUUGAUGGUGACCGCCUCCUUCGCAACAAGAAACGCAAAGCCAGGGGCACCAUGGUAAGGUGGCUGCGAGCCUAUGAGAGUGCUGUCUCCUUCCACUUCAGCAACUAUUUUGUGGGCUUUCUGUCCGAGGCCACGGCCACGUUGGCAGGGGCUGGCUUCACCGAGGAGAAGGAUCACCUGGAAUGGGACCUGACGGUCUCUAAGCCACUGAACGUGGAGCUGCCCCGGUCCAUGGUGGAAGUUGUCACAAGCUGGAACCUGCCCAUGUCUUAUUGGCUAAAUAACUAUGUUUUCAAGAAUGCUCUCCGCCUGGGGACCUUCUCAGCUGUGCUGGUCACCUAUGCAGCCAGCGCCCUCCUGCACGGCUUCAGCUUCCACCUGGCUGCGGUGCUGCUGUCCCUGGCGUUUAUCACUUAUGUGGAGCACGUCCUCCGAAAGCGCCUGGCUCGGAUCCUCAGUGCCUGCAUCUUGUCGAAACGGUGCCCAGCAGAAUGUUCACACCAGCAUCGCUUGGGCCUGGGGGUGCGAGCCUUAAACCUGCUCUUUGGGGCCCUGGCCAUCUUCCACCUGGCCUACCUGGGCUCCCUGUUCGAUGUUGAUGUGGACGACACCACAGAGGAGCAGGAAAUUCCCUGGCUGUCCAGUGGUUAGGACUUGGCGCUUUCACUGCGGGGGCCAGGGUUCAAUCCCUAGUCGGGGAACUAAGAUCCCUCAAGCCACGAGGCAUGACCAAAAAAAAAAAAAAAAAAAGUUAAUGCAUAUCACGUGGUUGAAAAACCAAACAGUAUUCAAGAUAUUCAGGGGAGAGUCUUAUUCCUGCCGUCUUACCCCCACCCUCUUACAGGUAACACACGAAUGACACUGUGCUGCAUGUUGCUUUUUUCACAUAAUUCCUGAAAACCUUCCACAUGAAGACAUAGAGUGUCCUCGUUCAUUUUUUCCAUUGUGACACAAUGUAGUUUGUCCCUUAUUGGUGGACACCCAGGUGAUUCCCACUCUUUUCCUAUGGGCUACGGCAUGGCAUACACUGUCCACAAAUGGUCAGAGCUCAGCUGGGCCAGUCACUGGGUCACUUUUGGAUGCUGGAUCUUCUACCGUCUCAUAGGCUGAGGCACAUCUGUGGACCCUCACAACUCUCUCAAGACCCCUCCUCAGGGUGCCAGCUCUGAUGGGGGAUGAGGGAAGGCCCUCUCUCUAAUUCUUGACCCUCUCUCCAUCCUUGACCCCCCAACACCCAUACACACACACACACACACACACAAAACCAUUUCCAUGCCUGUCAAUCCCCACCCCACCACAAGGCGGGAAGGGAGUGGUCCCUGCUGGGGCCUAGGGGCGGGGGAUGCUUGGGGAAGCAGAGAGGGGGAGAUCCAGGGCCUCCCCGCCUUCCUUGACCCUUUUUAUAUACAGUUUGUUAUUAUCAAAUAAAAGUAGGAAGUAUACAAAAGGCUCGCUCUUCACUGCUCAGUGGGGAAUAGAAGUGAGUGAGGAAGGGGGCACAGCAUGGAUAAAGGUUUGGAAGCUAGAAACCGUGAAGAGGGAGGUUGUGAUUGGUUCAUGGUUUAUUAUCAUUCAUGAUUGGAUGAUGAGCCUGAGGAUAGCACUGCUUGAUUUGAGUGGGGCCAGGACAGAUUGGAUACUUGGAUGUAGGGGAGGCCUGAUACUAAUUGGCUAGAAAAACUGAGGGAUCCCCAUUCGGUUUGGUUGCCCUGACUGGGACAGAGGAGGGAAAGACUGAUGAAGAGUUGAUGCUUAUUGGUCCUUAGGACUGAGGGCUGUGGGUUCUAAUUGGAUAGGAGGCCUGGGUUGGAUCUGGAUACUGACUUAGUCUGGGCGCCCACUGGGUUAGAGUUAUGGAGUCCUGAUUGGUUCUUUAGAGUUGGCAGGGGGAGAUUGAGGGUCUCCAUGCCAAUUGGCCAACAAGGCUGAAGGGCCUGGGUUUUGAUUGGUUCUUCUGACUUGAAGUCAGGAGAGGUGAAGAUGGCCUGAGGGAGAGGCAGAGGCAGCGUGUAGUAUUGAUCUGUCUGUUGUAUUAACAGUUUCCUUGCCCAUUCG
Lagenorhynchus albirostris (white-beaked dolphin) is the source of this 3262-nucleotide RNA transcript. It is a transcript of the gene named porcupine O-acyltransferase, with no coding region annotated. The record is from RefSeq and is a predicted model, not a curated record. NCBI's taxonomy places the organism in Eukaryota, Metazoa, Chordata, Mammalia, Artiodactyla, Delphinidae. The transcript is spliced from 16 exons.